Molecule: ribosomal RNA, 1343 nt
Filed under: uncultured bacterium
Lineage: Bacteria
Description: 16S ribosomal RNA
Rfam family: Bacterial small subunit ribosomal RNA
Source: RNAcentral
GACGAACGCUGGCGGCGUGCUUAACACAUGCAAGUCGAACGGAAAGGCCCUGCUUUUGUGGGGUGCUCGAGUGGCGAACGGGUGAGUAACACGUGAGUAACCCGCCCUUGACUUUGGGAUAACUUCAGGAAACUGGGGCUAAUACCGGAUAGGAGCUCCUGCUGCAUGGUGGGGGUUGGAGAGUUUCGGCGGUUGGGGAUGGACUCGCGGCUUAUCAGCUUGUUGGUGGGGUAGUGGCUUACCAAGGCUUUGACGGGUAGCCGGCCUGAGAGGGUGACCGGCCACAUUGGGACUGAGAUACGGCCCAGACUCCUACGGGAGGCAGCAGUGGGGAAUAUUGCACAAUGGGCGGAAGCCUGAUGCAGCAACGCCGCGUGCGGGAUGACGGCCUUCGGGUUGUAAACCGCUUUCGCCUGUGACGAAGCGUGAGUGACGGUAAUGGGUAAAGAAGCACCGGCUAACUACGUGCCAGCAGCCGCGGUGAUACGUAGGGUGCGAGCGUUGUCCGGAUUUAUUGGGCGUAAAGGGCUCGUAGGUGGUUGAUCGCGUCGGAAGUGUAAUCUUGGGGCUUAACCCUGAGCGUGCUUUCGAUACGGGUUGACUUGAGGAAGGUAGGGGAGAAUGGAAUUCCUGGUGGAGCGGUGGAAUGCGCAGAUAUCAGGAGGAACACCAGUGGCGAAGGCGGUUCUCUGGGCCUUUCCUGACGCUGAGGAGCGAAAGCGUGGGGAGCGAACAGGCUUAGAUACCCUGGUAGUCCACGCUGUAAACGGUGGGUACUAGGUGUGGGGUCCAUUCCACGGGUUCCGUGCCGUAGCUAACGCUUUAAGUACCCCGCCUGGGGAGUACGGCCGCAAGGCUAAAACUCAAAGGAAUUGACGGGGCCCCGCACAAGCGGCGGAGCAUGCGGAUUAAUUCGAUGCAACGCGUAGAACCUUACCUGGGUUUGACAUGGAUCGGGAGCGCUCAGAGAUGGGUGUGCCUCUUUUGGGGUCGGUUCACAGGUGGUGCGUGGCUGUCGUCAGCUCGUGUCGUGAGAUGUUGGGUUAAGUCCCGCAACGAGCGCAACCCUUGUUCACUGUUGCCAGCACGUUAUGGUGGGGACUCAGUGGAGACCGCCGGGGUCAACUCGGAGGAAGGUGGGGAUGACGUCAAGUCAUCAUGCCCCUUAUGUCCAGGGCUUCACGCAUGCUACAAUGGCUGGUACAGAGAGUGGCGAGCCUGUGAGGGUGAGCGAAUCUCGGAAAGCCGGUCUCAGUUCGGAUUGGGGUCUGCAACUCGACCUCAUGAAGUCGGAGUCGCUAGUAAUCGCAGAUCAGCAACGCUGCGGUGAAUACGUUCCCGGG